RNAcentral lists this transfer RNA (66 nucleotides) under Pisione sp. YZ-2018. RNAcentral's name for it is "tRNA-Ala". It matches the Rfam family "tRNA". From Rfam's summary of the family: Transfer RNA (tRNA) molecules are approximately 80 nucleotides in length. The record is from RNAcentral. Lineage: Eukaryota; Metazoa; Annelida; Polychaeta; Phyllodocida; Pisionidae.
GGUCUUCUAGUUUAACAAGAACAUUCGAUUUGCAUUCGAAAAGUGGAAGAACUUUUCCGUAUACCA